UCAGUUCGGAUUGCAGGCUGCAACUCGCCUGCAUGAAGCUGGAAUUGCUAGUAAUCGCGGAUCAGCAAGCCGCGGUGAAUACGUUCCCGGGCCUUGUACACACCGCCCGUCACACCAUGAGAGUCGGGAACACCCGAAGUCCGUAGUCUAACCGCAAGGGGGGCGCGGCCGAAGGUGGGUCCGGUAAUUGGGGUGAAGUCGUAACAAGGUAUC
RNAcentral lists this ribosomal RNA (213 nucleotides) under uncultured bacterium. Its description in RNAcentral is "partial 16S ribosomal RNA". It matches the Rfam family "Bacterial small subunit ribosomal RNA", at positions 1288 to 1500 of the family's 1533-position model. The record is from RNAcentral.